AUCAAGUUGACGAGUCUCAAAUAGGACGACACGUGCGUUCUCGAU
Molecule: non-coding RNA, 45 nt
Filed under: Schistosoma mansoni
Lineage: Eukaryota; Metazoa; Platyhelminthes; Trematoda; Strigeidida; Schistosomatidae
Source: RNAcentral